This 305-nucleotide ribosomal RNA is filed under the name uncultured bacterium. RNAcentral describes it as "bacterial SSU rRNA". It matches the Rfam family "Bacterial small subunit ribosomal RNA", at positions 337 to 658 of the family's 1533-position model. The record is from RNAcentral.
UCCCUACGGGACGCAGCAGUGGGGACUUUUGCAGUUUGUGGGAAACCCUGCUGCAGCGACGCCGCGUGAAGGAAGAAGUAUUUCGGUAUGUAAACUUCUAUCAGCAGGGAAGAAAAUGACGGUACCUGACUAAGAAGCCCCGGCUAACUACGUGCCAGCAGCCGCGGUAAUACGUAGGGGGCGAGCGUUAUCCGGAUUUACUGGGUGUAAAGGGAGCGUAGGCGGUUUAGCAAGUCAGAAGUGAAAGCCCGGGGCUCAACUCCGGGACUGCUUUUGAAACUGUUGAACUAGAUUGCAGGAGAGGG